RNAcentral lists this ribosomal RNA (657 nucleotides) under Acinetobacter kanungonis. Its description in RNAcentral is "bacterial SSU rRNA". It matches the Rfam family "Bacterial small subunit ribosomal RNA", at positions 80 to 732 of the family's 1533-position model. The record is from RNAcentral. Lineage: Bacteria; Pseudomonadati; Pseudomonadota; Gammaproteobacteria; Moraxellales; Moraxellaceae.
UUGCACCUUAGCUUAGCGGCGGACGGGUGAGUAAUGCUUAGGAAUCUGCCUAUUAGUGGGGGACAACAUUCCGAAAGGAAUGCUAAUACCGCAUACGCCCUACGGGGGAAAGCAGGGGAUCUUCGGACCUUGCGCUAAUAGAUGAGCCUAAGUCGGAUUAGCUAGUUGGUGGGGUAAAGGCCUACCAAGGCGACGAUCUGUAGCGGGUCUGAGAGGAUGAUCCGCCACACUGGGACUGAGACACGGCCCAGACUCCUACGGGAGGCAGCAGUGGGGAAUAUUGGACAAUGGGCGGAAGCCUGAUCCAGCCAUGCCGCGUGUGUGAAGAAGGCCUUUUGGUUGUAAAGCACUUUAAGCGAGGAGGAGGCUACUUAGAUUAAUACUCUAGGAUAGUGGACGUUACUCGCAGAAUAAGCACCGGCUAACUCUGUGCCAGCAGCCGCGGUAAUACAGAGGGUGCGAGCGUUAAUCGGAUUUACUGGGCGUAAAGCGUGCGUAGGCGGCUUUUUAAGUCGGAUGUGAAAUCCCCGAGCUUAACUUGGGAAUUGCAUUCGAUACUGGGAAGCUAGAGUAUGGGAGAGGAUGGUAGAAUUCCAGGUGUAGCGGUGAAAUGCGUAGAGAUCUGGAGGAAUACCGAUGGCGAAGGCAGCCAUCUGG